RNAcentral lists this ribosomal RNA (1346 nucleotides) under uncultured bacterium. RNAcentral describes it as "bacterial SSU rRNA". It matches the Rfam family "Bacterial small subunit ribosomal RNA", at positions 28 to 1381 of the family's 1533-position model. The record is from RNAcentral.
GACGAACGCUGGCGGCGUGCUUAACACAUGCAAGUCGAACGGAAAGGCCCUGCUUUUGUGGGGUGCUCGAGUGGCGAACGGGUGAGUAACACGUGAGUAACCUGCCCUUGACUUUGGGAUAACUUCAGGAAACUGGGGCUAAUACCGGAUAGGAGCUCCUGCUGCAUGGUGGGGGUUGGAAAGUUUCGGCGGUUGGGGAUGGACUCGCGGCUUAUCAGCUUGUUGGUGGGGUAGUGGCUUACCAAGGCUUUGACGGGUAGCCGGCCUGAGAGGGUGACCGGCCACAUUGGGACUGAGAUACGGCCCAGACUCCUACGGGAGGCAGCAGUGGGGAAUAUUGCACAAUGGGCGGAAGCCUGAUGCAGCAACGCCGCGUGCGGGAUGACGGCCUUCGGGUUGUAAACCGCUUUCGCCUGUGACGAAGCGUGAGUGCCGGUAAUGGGUAAAGAAGCACCGGCUAACUACGUGCCAGCAGCCGCGGUGAUACGUAGGGUGCGAGCGUUGUCCGGAUUUAUUGGGCGUAAAGGGCUCGUAGGUGGUCGAUCGCGUCGGAAGUGUAAUCUUGGGGCUUAACCCUGAGCGUGCUUUCGAUACGGGUUGACUUGAGGAAGGUAGGGGAGAAUGGAAUUCCUGGUGGAGCGGUGGAAUGCGCAGAUAUCAGGAGGAACACCAGUGGCGAAGGCGGUUCUCUGGGCCUUUCCUGACGCUGAGGAGCGAAAGCGUGGGGAGCGAACAGGCUUAGAUACCCUGGUAGUCCACGCUGUAAACGGUGGGUACUAGGUGUGGGGUCCAUUCCACGGGUUCCGUGCCGUAGCUAACGCUUUAAGUACCCCGUCUGGGGAGUACGGCCGCAAGGCUAAAACUCAAAGGAAUUGACGGGGCCCCGCACAAGCGGCGGAGCAUGCGGAUUAAUUCGAUGCAACGCGUAGAACCUUACCUGGGUUUGACAUGGAUCGGGAGCGCUCAGAGAUGGGUGUGCCUCUUUUGGGGUCGGUUCACAGGUGGUGCAUGGCUGUCGUCAGCUCGUGUCGUGAGAUGUUGGGUUAAGUCCCGCAACGAGCGCAACCCUUGUUCACUGUUGCCAGCACGUUAUGGUGGGGACUCAGUGGAGACCGCCGGGGUCAACUCGGAGGAAGGUGGGGAUGACGUCAAGUCAUCAUGCCCCUUAUGUCCAGGGCUUCACGCAUGCUACAAUGGCUGGUACAGAGAGUGGCGAGCCUGUGAGGGUGAGCGAAUCUCGGAAAGCCGGUCUCAGUUCGGAUUGGGGUCUGCAACUCGACCUCAUGAAGUCGGAGUCGCUAGUAAUCGCAGAUCAGCAACGCUGCGGUGAAUACGUUCCCGGGGCU